Molecule: RNA transcript, 589 nt
Organism: Microcebus murinus (gray mouse lemur)
Lineage: Eukaryota; Metazoa; Chordata; Mammalia; Primates; Cheirogaleidae
Gene: TIMM8B
Gene name: translocase of inner mitochondrial membrane 8 homolog B
Source: RefSeq, a predicted model, not a curated record
GCGCGCCCACAGCGCAUGCGCAGACACACUCGUCGGAAGGUCAGGAUCCUUUUGCUUACAAUGGCGGAGCUGGGUGAAGCGGACGAGGCAGAGUUGCAGCGCCUGGUGGCGGCCGAACAGCAGAAGGCGCAGUUCACUGCACAGGUGCAUCAUUUCAUGGAGCUAUGCUGGGAUAAAUGUGUGGAGAAGCCAGGGAAUCGCCUAGACUCUCGCACUGAAAAUUGUCUCUCCAGCUGUGUGGACCGCUUCAUUGACACCACUCUUGCCAUCACCAGUCGGUUUGCCCAAAUUGUGCAGAAAGGAGGACAGUAGGCCAUCCCCUGGGAGAAUGACUGAAGCAGCAAAGGACUUGUUAUUAAAGCAGAUUGAAGGGCCAGCAGGGGAAGGUUGUUAACCCAUUGUGAGAACUGCUGGAUGCUGAAUCAUCUGACUGGGAAGCAUCAUUUUCUGCCUCUAAGAAUGAAGCAGAUUUUUUGAGAGACUUUUUCCUGGAUUUUUUCUUGCGCUUAUGUGGUUGUUUCCUUUUCCUGCUAUUCGAAGCCCCAGUUUCUUCUGAGAACUCGCUUGAAGAAUCUGCUGUUAUAUCCGU